Molecule: ribosomal RNA, 451 nt
Filed under: uncultured bacterium
Lineage: Bacteria
Description: bacterial SSU rRNA
Rfam family: Bacterial small subunit ribosomal RNA
Source: RNAcentral
GUGAGGAAUCUUGCGCAAUGGGGGAAACCCUGACGCAGCAAUGCCGCGUGAGUGAAGAAGGCCUUCGGGUCGUAAAGCUCUGUCAGGCGGGAAGAAUAGCUUGAGGGUGAAUAACCUUCAGGUAUGACGGUACCGCCGAAGGAAGCACCGGCUAACUCCGUGCCAGCAGCCGCGGUAAGACGGAGGGUGCAAGCGUUAUUCGGAAUCAUUGGGCGUAAAGAGCGUGUAGGCGGCCGGGCAAGUCAGAGGUGAAAGCCCAGGGCUCAACCCUGGAAGUGCCUUUGAAACUGCUUGGCUUGAGUUCGGGAGAGGGAAGUGGAAUUCCUGGUGUAGAGGUGAAAUUCGUAGAUAUCAGGAGGAACACCGGUGGCGAAGGCGACUUCCUGGACCGAAACUGACGCUGAGACGCGAAAGCGUGGGGAGCAAACAGGAUUAGAUACCCCAGUAGUCC